GAUGAACGCUGGCGGCGUGCCUAAUACAUGCAAGUCGAGCGAACGGACGAGAAGCUUGCUUCUCUGAUGUUAGCGGCGGACGGGUGAGUAACACGUGGAUAACCUACCUAUAAGACUGGGAUAACUUCGGGAAACCGGAGCUAAUACCGGAUGAUAUUUUGAACCGCAUGGUUCAAAAGUGAAAGACGGUCUUGCUGUCACUUAUAGAUGGAUCCGCGCUGCAUUAGCUAGUUGGUAAGGUAACGGCUUACCAAGGCAACGAUGCAUAGCCGACCUGAGAGGGGGAUCGGCCGCACUGGAAGUGGGACAGGGUCCAGGCGCAUACGGGAAGGAGCAGUAGGGAAUCUGCCGCAAUGGGCGAAAACCUGACGGAGCAACGCCGCGUGAGUGAUGAAGGUCUUCGGAGCGUAAAACUCUGUUAUUAGGGAAGAACAGAUGUGUAAGUAACUGUGCACAUCUUGACGGUACCUAAUCAGAAAGCCACGGCUAACUACGUG
Molecule: ribosomal RNA, 497 nt
Filed under: uncultured bacterium
Lineage: Bacteria
Description: partial 16S ribosomal RNA
Rfam family: Bacterial small subunit ribosomal RNA
Source: RNAcentral